Molecule: ribosomal RNA, 468 nt
Filed under: uncultured bacterium
Lineage: Bacteria
Description: partial 16S ribosomal RNA
Rfam family: Bacterial small subunit ribosomal RNA
Source: RNAcentral
GACGAACGCUGGCGGCGUGCUUAACACAUGCAAGUCGAACGGAAAGGCCCUGCUUUUGUGGGGUGCUCGAGUGGCGAACGGGUGAGUAACACGUGAGUAACCUGCCCUUGACUUUGGGAUAACCUCAGGAAACUGGGGCUAAUACCGGAUAGGAGCUCCUGCUGCAUGGUGGGGGUUGGAAAGUUUCGGCGGUUGGGGAUGGACUCGCGGCUUAUCAGCUUGUUGGUGGGGUAGUGGCAUACCAAGGCUUUGACGGGUAGCCGGCCUGAGAGGGUGACCGGCCACAGUGGGACUGAGAUACGGCCCAGACUCCUACGGGAGGGAGCGGUGGGGGAUAUUACAAGAUGGGCGGGAGCCUGAUGCAGCAACGCCGCGGGCGGGAUGGCGGCCUUGGGGUUAUAAACCGAUUUCGCCUGUGACGGAGAGUGAGUGACGGUAAUGGGUAAAGAAGCACCGGCUAACUACGUG